Brassica napus (rape) is the source of this 2260-nucleotide long non-coding RNA. RefSeq lists it as uncharacterized. The transcript is spliced from 3 exons. NCBI's taxonomy places the organism in Eukaryota, Viridiplantae, Streptophyta, Magnoliopsida, Brassicales, Brassicaceae. The record is from RefSeq and is a predicted model, not a curated record.
AACUCUUUUAUUUUUUAUUUUUUUAUUAGUGUUAUUAGAGAUUAUAAGUUUGUAUUAGCAUGACAUGAUGUUCCUGAUAGAAAUGGUAUUAUAGUUUUCUUAAAUGUUUGCUCAACUUUUCUUAUAUAUAGUAAGUAGAUUUCAGUUUUUAUUGUUGUGGUUAGGUUUAAUACUCAAAAUAUUGAUUAUUUUAUUUAGUUUUUCAACAUUGUACGUGGGUUUUGUAUUUUUUUUAUUCUUAUUAAAAUAUUUGUAUAUUUAUGUAUUAACAUAUUAACAUGAUUAUUUAUUUUAAAAUUCAAAAUAAACCAAUCUACAUCUUUUUGCUAAUAAUAUAUAAAUAGUUAAUUUUUUAUUUAUUGGUUCAGUAAUUUCACAUUUAUUAGAAUACUUUACUUAAUUAUAACUAAUAUUUAAAAGAAAUAAUUGGAUAGACAACAUAUCAAAUUUAGAAUCUAGCAAUUACUUUGUAUGUUAUAACUAUAUAAAUUUUAUGCAUUUUACAAUUUUUUUAAAAGUAAUUUAUUCUGCUAAUAUGAAAUCUAAUUAAAAAUUGAGAGUGAGUGCCGUAUCCAUGAUGUUUACUCAUGGCCGUAACCAAAAAAAAAACAUUAAGCCCAUUAUUGGACAAAUACACAACAAACGAAAGCCCAAUAUGAUUUCCAAUUAAAUGAAUCGCAACGUUUAACACAGGAGACACGUGCCAGCCCCUCAAAAAGUGAGUUUCCAACUGGAUAGCCUAGGAGUGAAACAAACAAUUUUAUAUAUAUAUAUAAAUUUUUUUGGUCGAUAGCUUAAUGAUAUUUUCAAAUUACAAAAAAUAUAUGAAAAAAUUAAUCAAUAUUUAUUUUUUUUCCUUUUUUUCAUAACUGAAGCUGGCUUUUCUUUUUCUUUGGACUGUGAUUGAAACCAGAUAGAUAUGAUGAGUUAAUUGAUUAAAUGUUUUUUUAACCCAAAUUUUCAUAUUAAAAGGCGAGAAACAAAAUGGUGAAAGCUAGAUGCUUAAGUUAAUUAAAUGGUAAAGGCCCAGUAAUUAAGCAGCCCAAAUACAGAAAACUUUGCAUGCGAGUCGGAGGAACCGGAGUCAGGACCGGACCUGACCGGAGUUACCAAGAGACAAUUAGUUCAGAGGAGCAGACGAUCAAAGAAAGAUGAGGACUGUGAGGAAUAGAUGAUCAAUGAAAGAUAAGUGAAUGUUCUAUCUUUUAUAUCAAGAUUCACUUUUUCGUUUAACCUUUGUUUGUUUCUUCUUGAAGUCGGCAAGAUUCUUAUAUAUCUGAAAGUAUCAGACUAAUCCACGGGUUGAGAAUUGAGAAGUACAUUGACUAUUUUCCCUAAAGAAUACCAAAAAAUAUUUUUAUUUAAAAUUAAAAAAAACUUUUAAAAUUGAACAAUAGUUGAGGAUACGACAUCGUUUAACAAUGGUACAUGUUUUCCUGAGUUUAAUAACCUAAAUCUUUUUCCAUCUUCGUGAGUACGGCGAGUUUAGAAUCGUCUUUCUCCUUUUUGUGUUAUCUUUUUCUCUAGAAUAGCUCGAUUCUUCGUCUCCAAUCAAGCUUGAUUUAUCGCUAGCCUCCAGUCUUUUUUCACGCUAUCAAUCGCUGGCGGUUUCAGCAUCUUCAUGUUAUUCACCAGCACAACCGUUGAUUUCACCUUCUUGAGCCACCGGCGAACUUCUUUACCGUCUGAACCACAACACAGCUUCUAUCGCCGCGUUAACCACCUUCAGAUUGGUAAGCGUACUUGUUUCCACCGAUUGUCUUUCUUUGGGAAGUCUUGGGCUUCCUCUCAUAUGCGAGAGCUCUGUUUACCAUUGUGCUCUGGAAAGUUUGGGAAUAAAAUGGGGAAGAAAUCUAAUCGGUUGGACACAACAACAACUUACACCGGAGACUGGCCGGAAAUAGUCGUCCUCCGUAAUUUAACUCGGGCUCUAUUGUCAGUUCAAAAACACAGAGUUCAAGAAUGGCUGCAGCCUUAGGCAUGUUUAGUCACGGUCCGGAAAAUGAUGAUAAAAGAUGGUGGGCUUAGAUCAUGUAAGUUGCAGUCCAAGUGACUAAACUAUCUAAGACCGCAUCAAAUUCAUUAAAUCGUUAAUGAAACACAGAGUUUCGAGAUGGUAGGACAGGUGUCGCACUCACAAUCAAUGACUUUUUGACCUGGCGCUGACGUGGAUGCACAUGAGUGAAGCAAACAUUUUUUUAUAUAUAUAGAUUAUACCUAAUCACAUUUGGUACUCUACUAUCCAUAAAUAAUGUUGGUC